Macadamia integrifolia is the source of this 1566-nucleotide long non-coding RNA. RefSeq lists it as uncharacterized. The record is from RefSeq and is a predicted model, not a curated record. The transcript has 2 exons. Lineage: Eukaryota; Viridiplantae; Streptophyta; Magnoliopsida; Proteales; Proteaceae.
GUGGUUGGCUCGGCUCAGAAGUCUCAUCAAUGUUGAAAGGGAAGUUUUCAAGGUCAUCAGGAUAAAAAGAGGUGAAGGUAGAGGUACCAUGGUAUGGGACUAGGUCUUCAACAUUGAAAAUAUUGCUGAUCUCCAUGCUGGCUGGGAGGUCAAGGACAUACGCAUUGGCACCUAUCCUCUUGAGUACCUUGAACGGACCUGUGCUACGAGCAUGUAGCUUGCUCGCUUUUCCCCUAACAAAACGUUGUGGCUUGAUUCUUACCAUCACAGGAUAUAGAAAAAUCAAUAAUUCUAAAUCAGGGCGAUGGAUGGAACUGAUAUUACAGGUGAAGGAAGGUCUAUGGGGCUGGUUGUAUACUUAAAAAUUUCAGGUUCAUCCAAUGGGGGGGAUUGGAAGAAACAACCAGAAACAGAAAUUGGUAACUAAGGAGAUUUAAUAUAACUUUCAAUCCAGCAGUCUAAUGGACUUCAGACUUGAAUCAAAAGGAGGGGAAAGGGACAACAACAUACUCAAAUCUCAGACCAAUCUGAUUGUCUGAUACUCAGGAAUCAAGGAUCGAAAAUCAGACUAAGGUGCUGUCGCAUAAGCUAUCACUGGCAAGAACAGUACUAGGAAAUAUCAGAAUUUAAUAAGAACUUGUAGUCUGUAGGGAACUAGUAAUAGAUCAAUCUAACACCGAAGAUAGUACUGAUGUUACUUCAGAAGCCAAAGAUCUUGUUCCCUUACAGAUAGCAAUAGGUAAGUCAAGAGAUGGAUCAGAAAUACUAGGAGAUUCAGGAAUGGGAUUACCAGACGGAGUAGAACGUGGAUCAGGAGGUGGCCGUUGACUGGGUAGAGUUGGUGUAGCUGUGGUGGUGUCUAUUUGCUUCUCACAAUUCUGACGAAUAUGCUUUUUCACAGGAGGAGGUUGAUUAAUGUCUUGUUUCUCCCCCUGAACUGAAGGAACUGAAGGUGCUGUUGCAUAAUCACAAGAGUUUCCAUUUUCUGUUUAAAACUGAUUUCAUUUCCUUUCCCUUCCCUUCCCUUCCCUUCCCUUCCCUCUACUUGCAACCAGACUGAGCCAAUGUGAUUAUGUAUCUAAAAUUGUGUGGUAAAGAGUGACUGUUAUGCUAAAGUUUCAUACAGGAAUUUUAGUACCAUCUGUUUUAGGACAUGUUAUACUUGAGCGUACUAAGAAUGCUGUCUAUUCUGCAUGCUGGGAUUAAAGCUCCAGGUAGCAUACAGCUCACUUGUUUAAUCAAAUCAUAGAAGAACUGUGAAGGCAAAGGUAUGAGUCAUCAUCAAAGGUUACUAGAUCGACUCUACCUGCAAAUAGAUGUAGCCUAUUCAAUGGCCAGCUAAUGGUGGUGCUUCUACCAAAAUGAGUAUACCCCUUCUGUUUCUUUGAAAUUUAUUCUGUAAGAGCUUGUCCUUCUACUUCUAAUUUUUAAUAGGCAAGCAAGAAAUUUUUUGAGUUAAACAGUCACAGAGCCUUAGAUACAAUCUGCUGUAACUAACAGCACUAUUUCUGAAACACAGAACUUGGAAUGCUUUGAAUAUACCCUCUGUUUGACUUGACAACUUUA